GACGAACGCUGGCGGCGUGCCUAAUACAUGCAAGUAGAACGCUGAGGAAAGGAGCUUGCUUCUUUUGGAUGAGUUGCGAACGGGUGAGUAACGCGUAGGUAACCUGCCUUGUAGCGGGGGAUAACUAUUGGAAACGAUAGCUAAUACCGCAUAACAGCUUUUGACACAUGUUAGAAGCUUGAAAGAUGCAAUUGCAUCACUACGAGAUGGACCUGCGUUGUAUUAGCUAGUAGGUAGGGUAACGGCCUACCUAGGCGACGAUACAUAGCCGACCUGAGAGGGUGAUCGGGCCACACUGGGACUGAGACACGGGCCCAGACUCCUACGGGAGGCAGCAGUAGGGAAUCUUCGGGCAAUGGGGGCAACCCUGACCGAGCAACGCCGCGUGAGUGAAGAAGGUUUUCGGAUCGUAAAGCUCUGUUGUAAGAGAAGAACGUGUGUGAGAGU
RNAcentral lists this ribosomal RNA (447 nucleotides) under uncultured bacterium. Its description in RNAcentral is "bacterial SSU rRNA". It matches the Rfam family "Bacterial small subunit ribosomal RNA", at positions 28 to 462 of the family's 1533-position model. The record is from RNAcentral.